UAUGGUCAAACCACACUGAAAACACUGAUUUGCAUUUGAUCACCAAAGUUAAGCAGUGUUAAGCGUGGUCAGUGCUUAGAUGGGUGACCACUUGUGAAUUCCGGGCACUGUA
Molecule: non-coding RNA, 112 nt
Organism: Acanthosepion pharaonis
Lineage: Eukaryota; Metazoa; Mollusca; Cephalopoda; Sepiida; Sepiidae
Source: the annotation of a GenBank genome assembly